AUUGAACGCUGGCGGCAGGCCUAACACAUGCAAGUCGAACGAGUGGCGGAAGGGUGAGUAAUGUCUGGGAAACUGCCUGAUGGAGGGGGAUAACUACUGUAAACGGUAGCUAAUACCGCUUACCAUCAGAUCUGCACAGAUGGGAUUAUCUUGUUGGUGGGGUAACGGCUCACCAAGGCGACGAUCCCUAGCUGGUCUGAGAGGAUGACCAGCAACACUGGGACUGAGACACGGUCCAGACUCCUACGGGAGGCAGCAGUGGGGAAUAUUGCACAAUGGGCGCAAGCCUGAUGCAGCCAUGCCGCGGGUAUGAAGAAGGCCUUCGGGUUGUAAAGUACUUUCAGCAGGGAGGCGUUACCCACAGAAGAAGCACCGGCUAACUCCGUGCCAGCAGCCGCGGUAAUUC
This 406-nucleotide ribosomal RNA is filed under the name uncultured bacterium. RNAcentral's name for it is "partial 16S ribosomal RNA". It matches the Rfam family "Bacterial small subunit ribosomal RNA", at positions 30 to 526 of the family's 1533-position model. The record is from RNAcentral.